This 492-nucleotide ribosomal RNA is filed under the name uncultured bacterium. RNAcentral's name for it is "partial 16S ribosomal RNA". It matches the Rfam family "Bacterial small subunit ribosomal RNA", at positions 29 to 507 of the family's 1533-position model. The record is from RNAcentral.
AGUGAACGCUGGCGGUAGGCCUAACACAUGCAAGUCGAACGGCAGCACAGUAAGAGCUUGCUCUUACGGGUGGCGAGUGGCGGACGGGUGAGGAAUACAUCGGAAUCUACUUUUUCGUGGGGGAUAACGUAGGGAAACUUACGCUAAUACCGCAUACGACCUACGGGUGAAAGCAGGGGAUCUUCUGACCUUGCGCGAUUGAAUGAGCCGAUGUCGGAUUAGCUAGUUGGCGGGGUAAAGGCCCACCAAGGCGACGAUCCGUAGCUGGUCUGAGAGGAUGAUCAGCCACACUGGAACUGAGACACGGUCCAGACUCCUACGGGAGGCAGCAGUGGGGAAUAUUAGACAAUGGGCGCAAGCCUGAUCCAGCCAUACCGCGUGGGUGAAGAAGGCCUUCGGGUUGUAAAGACCUUUUGUUGGGAAAGAAAAGCAGCAGGUUAAUACCCCGCUGUUCUGACGGUACCCAAAGAAUAAGCACCGGCUAACUUCGUG